CAGCAGUAGCCGCGGGAAAACAGAGGGUGCGAGCGUUAAUCGGAUUUACUGGGCGUAAAGCGUGCGUAGGCGGCUUUUUAAGUCGGAUGUGAAAUCCCUGAGCUUAACUUAGGAAUUGCAUUCGAUACUGGGAAGCUAGAGUAUGGGAGAGGAUGGUAGAAUUCCAGGUGUAGCGGUGAAAUGCGUAGAGAUCUGGAGGAAUACCGAUGGCGAAGGCAGCCAUCUGGCCUAAUACUGACGCUGAGGUACGAAAGCAUGGGGAGCAAACAGGAUUAGAUACCCCAGUAGUCCCUGUCUCUUAUAA
This 304-nucleotide ribosomal RNA is filed under the name uncultured bacterium. Its description in RNAcentral is "partial 16S ribosomal RNA". It matches the Rfam family "Bacterial small subunit ribosomal RNA", at positions 506 to 809 of the family's 1533-position model. The record is from RNAcentral.